UGGAGUUUCUACCCUAGCAUGAAAGGAGGAAGAGAGAAAAUCGGCUCCAGGUGGUUAUGUUGAACAUGUAAAUAUUCUCCCUGCUGUGAGUAUUACUGCAGCUGCCCAAAGAUGCUAUAUUUUAAAGAUGUGGAUACAGGAAGAUAAAAGCAUCAGAAACACUGCAUGAGGGUGGAGCAGGCAUGGAGAGCAACCCUACAAGGGCAGUCAAUAAAGGAAAGACAUUUGAUCUUAGCCAAAAGGCUGAGAAUUGAUUAAUAAAGGAUAGAAACAAGGUAUGUGUGCUUACAUGUAUUCUAUCAUUGUUGGGUAU
This 313-nucleotide long non-coding RNA is filed under the name Pan troglodytes (chimpanzee). RNAcentral describes it as "lncRNA (ENSPTRG00000053631.1)". Lineage: Eukaryota; Metazoa; Chordata; Mammalia; Primates; Hominidae. The record is from RNAcentral.